CCGUUUAACCUUCUCUCUCUGUUUGCAACGUUCGUUAUUCUCUUUACAACAGAGCUCAAGGAAAUCCAAGGUCUCAGUUCAACAACGACCAAUAGAUGGAUCUACAUGUAUCAGCGUAACUAUAAACUAUCGUGGAAUUCUAUCAAAAAAUCUAAAAACUCGAACACAACGCAUGCACCUCAAAACGGAAUGUGGGAACAAGUCACUGAUGCGCCGAGGCACAAAUCACGUAGAAGGAAAGAUAGGUCAUACAUACAAUCGUUAAAAUUCAAACAGACCAAGGAGUAGAG
RNAcentral lists this long non-coding RNA (290 nucleotides) under Lathyrus oleraceus (garden pea). Its description in RNAcentral is "Pisum sativum (pea) long non-coding RNA (PSAT_LNC029512)". The record is from RNAcentral. Lineage: Eukaryota; Viridiplantae; Streptophyta; Magnoliopsida; Fabales; Fabaceae.